AUGUACAGUAGGUGUGUAACAGGAAGUGUGUAUUACCUGGAACUUUGUCAACGGAGGCGAACACAGAUCUCUGUGCGGUGGGGUCGUUGGGCGCUCGACGCGAUUGGUCGUAGAAGCGGAAAGGGAGUUGACCGCCGGCAGCAGUGUUUCCUGUCUGGCCGAAGCCCAGAACCUCUGACGAACUGGGCUGGACAGGAAGGUCUAGUAACGCUGGAACACACAGAGAUGUUAGAGAGGGAGGUGUCCUCUGAGUGGCUUUCUCUCUCUGUCUCUCUCCGGGUGUGUAGAGAGGGAGGUGUGUCCUCUGAGUGGCUUUCUCUCCCUGUCUCUCUCUCCUGGUGUGUCUCCCUGUCAAAUCUCUCUCUCUACGGGUGUGUCUCCCUGUCAAAUCUCUCUCUCUACGGGUAUGUCUCAAUCUUUCUCUCUCCCCGUCCACCUCGCUCUCUCUCCCAGUCACUCUCUCUCCCCCCCAGGCACUCUCUCUCUCUCCCCAGGCAAUCUCUCUCUCUCCCCAGGCAAUCUCUCUCUCUCCCCAGGCACUCUCUCUCUUUCCCCAGGCACUCUCUCUCUCUCCCCAGGCACUCUCUCUCUCUCCCCAGGCACUCUCUCUCUCUCCCCAGGCACUCUCUCUCUCUCCCCAGGCACUCGCUCUCUCUCCCCAGUCACUCACUCUCUCUCUCCCUGUCACUCUCUCUCUCCCUGUCACUCUCUCUCUCCCUGUCACUCUCUCUCUCCCUGUCACUCUCUCUCUCCCUGUCACUCUCUCUAUCCCUGUCACUCUCUCUAUCCUCUGUCUCUCUCUCUACCUGCUAUCCUCUGUCUCUCUCUCUACCUGCUAUCCUCUGUCUCUCCCUCUACCUGCUAUCCUCUAUCUCUCCCUCUACCUGCUAUCCUCUAUCUCUCCCUCUACCUGCUAUCCUCUGUCUGUCUCUACCUGCUAUCCUCUGUCUCUCUCUCUACCUGCUAUCCUCUGUCUCUCUCUCUACCUGCUAUCCUCUGUCUCUCUCUCUACCUGCUAUCCUCUGUCUCUCUCUCUACCUGCUAUCCUCUGUCUCUCCCUCUACCUGCUAUCCUCUAUCUCUCCCUCUACCUGCUAUCCUCUAUCUCUCCCUCUACCUGCUAUCCUCUGUCUGUCUCUACCUGCUAUCCUCUGUCUCUCUCUCUACCUGCUAUCCUCUGUCUCUCUCUCUACCUGCUAUCCUCUGUCUCUCUCUCUACCUGCUAUCCUCUGUCUCUCUCUCUCUCUAG
Molecule: long non-coding RNA, 1248 nt
Filed under: Oncorhynchus kisutch (coho salmon)
Lineage: Eukaryota; Metazoa; Chordata; Actinopteri; Salmoniformes; Salmonidae
Description: lncRNA (ENSOKIG00005033588.1)
Source: RNAcentral